Sebastes umbrosus (honeycomb rockfish) is the source of this 207-nucleotide long non-coding RNA. RefSeq lists it as uncharacterized. The record is from RefSeq and is a predicted model, not a curated record. Lineage: Eukaryota; Metazoa; Chordata; Actinopteri; Perciformes; Sebastidae. The transcript is spliced from 2 exons.
CACAGCAUUUUCUUUUUCUUGAGAUCCAGUCAAAUCUAUCACAGCUGGUUUAGCCAUCAGUUCCACAUGGCCUACCACAUCAAAUUCUUCUUCUUCUCCUUCUUCUUGCGAUCCAGUCAAGUCUAUUACAAUUGGAGUGGCCAACAGGACACUCGGAAAAUCCAUCCUGCGUUUCCUCAUCGACCCAGGUGCCCUGUUUGACAUCUA